Molecule: long non-coding RNA, 168 nt
Organism: Herpailurus yagouaroundi (jaguarundi)
Lineage: Eukaryota; Metazoa; Chordata; Mammalia; Carnivora; Felidae
Exons: 4
Source: RefSeq, a predicted model, not a curated record
AUCUCAAAUUUCCACAGGAAAAUAGCAAUGGUGAUACCACGGUCAUGUUCAGCUUUCAGUUUAUCCAAGACCCAGGCAUACCUAAAGGAGCCCUUCCCCAUCUCAGCAGCCUCCUUCUCAAAUUUUUUGAUAGUUUUAGAACGCAAGAGCACGUCUGAAAUCCAGUCA